UGGGGAAUAUUGCACAAUGGAGGGAACUCUGAUGCAGCGACGCCGCGUGAACGAAGAAGGCUUUCGAGUCGUAAAUUUCUUUUAUAUGGUAAGAUAAUGACGGUACCAUAAGAAAAAGCCCCGGCUAACUACGUGCCAGCAGCCGCAGUAAUACGUAGGGGGCUCGCGUUGUCCGGAAUCACUGGGCGUAAAGGGUUCGCAGGCGGAAAUCCAAGUCAGGUGUAAAAGGCAGUAGCUUAACUACUGUAAGCAUUUGAAACUGCAUAUCUUGAGAAGAGUAGAGGUAAGUGGAAUUUUUAGUGUAGCGGUGAAAUGCGUAGAUAUUAAAAAGAAUACCGGUGGCGAAGGCGACUUACUGGGCUCAUUCUGACGCUGAGGAACGAAAGCGUGGGUAGCAAACAGG
This 403-nucleotide ribosomal RNA is filed under the name bacterium. Its description in RNAcentral is "partial 16S ribosomal RNA". It matches the Rfam family "Bacterial small subunit ribosomal RNA", at positions 355 to 776 of the family's 1533-position model. The record is from RNAcentral.